UUAGAGUUAGGGUUAGUGUUUGGGUUAGCGUCAGUGAAUACUUGAAAUAACUAAAUGAGAAUUAUUUGAAUACUUAACACGAAAUUUUAUUUUAAAAUUUGAAUAUUUACAAGCGUUUAUUCUAGGGGACAAUCAGAAUUUUAAAAUGAGAAUAAUUACAAUAAAGACCUGAAAAUUUAAGUUUCACACCCGAAUAUCCCCCAGCCCUGUUUCAAGCCCUGACGGGGCGGAUCCCCAGCCCGCUCCCGCCCGCUCCCGGCCUGAAGAACGGGAACAGAUUCCCGUUUGGGCUUUCCAGGGCCGCCGAUCCCAGCAGCCGCCGCUCCUCGGCGUCGAAGAAGCGGAGGCGGCGCCGCUCGAGAUCCAGCAGCACCCCGAGCACGCGGCAGCGCCCCGGGCUGCGCUGCAGGAGCGCGCCCCGGAGCCGGAGCUCGCCCCGGGAGCGCGCCAGGGACGGGCAGCGGUGGGAACCUGGGGUGGGGUCCGGGAUGGAGGGGAGGGGGUGGUAGCGGUGGGAAUUCGGGGUGGGGUCCGGGAUGGAGGGGAUGGGGUGAUCCUGGUGGGAAUUCAGGGUGGGAUUUGGGAUGGAGGGGAUGGGAUGGUACCGGUGGGAAUUCGGGGUAGGAUCCAAGAUGGGGUCCGGGAUGGGAUUCAGGAUGGAAUUUGGGAUGGGAUCCUGAAUGGAAUCUUGCAGGGAAUCAGGGAUGGAAUUCGGGAUGGGAUCCAGGAUGGAAUCCAGGAUGGGAUCCAGGAUGGAAUCUGGGAUGGGAUCCCGCAGGGAACUGGGGAUGGAAUUCGGGAUGGGAUCCCGGAUGGGGUCCAGGAUGGAAUUUUGGAUGGGAUCCUGCAGGGAAUUGGGGACGGGAUCUGGGAUCGAUUUCGGGAUGGAAUUUGGAAUGGAAUUCGGGAUGGGAUCCGGGAUGGGAUUUGGGGUGGAAUUCCGCAGGGGAUCCUGCAGAGAACCCGGGAUGGGAUCCCGAAUGGAAUCUCGCAGGGAAUCAUCCCUCAGGGAAUCAUCCUGCAGGGAAUCCGGGAUGGAAUCCAGGGUGGAAUCUGGGGUGGGAUCCUGCAGGGAAUCCCUCAGGGAAUCCCUCAGGGAAUCCCGGAUGGAAUCCCGGAUGGAAUCCCGGAUGGAAUCCCGGACCUCCUGCGGGAGCACGCCCAGCUCCCAAUCGCUGCCGUCUCCCAGCUCCACUUCCCAGUAAUGCUUCCCGUGGGAAAAUCCCUCCCGAGUCACGGCCAGGGCCCCGAGGCGGGGCCGGGAUCCGGGAUCGGAGCCAGGGAUUUGGGAUCUGGGAUCGGAGCCAGGGAUUUGGGAUCCGGGAUCGGAGCCAGGGAUUUGGGAUCCGGGGAUUUGGGAUCCGGGAUCGGGGCCGGGGAUUUGGGAUCCGGGAUCGGGGCCGGGGAUUCGGGAUCCGGGAUUGGGGCAGAUCCAGGAUCGGCCCCGGAUCAGCAGGGCCGGGUGGGUGCAGCUCUCGUCCAGCGUCAGCGAGACUGGGAAAGAGUGGGGGGAGCGUUUGAUAGGGGUUUGAUAGCGUUUGAUAGGGUGUGAUGGGGUUUCUGAUAGGGUUUGAUAGAGUGUGAUGGGAUUUUGAUAGGGUUAGAUAGCGCUUGAUAAGGUUUGAUAGGGUUUGAUAGGGUUAUGAUAGCGUUUGAUAGGGUGUGAUACAGUUUGAUAGGAUUUGAUAGGGUUUUGAUAGUGUUUGAUAAGGUGUGAUAGGGUUUGAUAGGGUUUGGUAGGUUUUUGAUGGAGUUUGAUGGGGUUUGAUAGCUUUUGAUAGGGUUUGAUAGAGUUUGAUAGGAUUUGAUUGGGUUUGGCAGGUUUUUGAUAGGGUUUGAUAGGGUUUGAUAGG
Molecule: long non-coding RNA, 1853 nt
Filed under: Junco hyemalis (dark-eyed junco)
Lineage: Eukaryota; Metazoa; Chordata; Aves; Passeriformes; Passerellidae
Description: lncRNA (ENSJHYG00000001004.1)
Source: RNAcentral